RNAcentral lists this non-coding RNA (31 nucleotides) under Rattus norvegicus (Norway rat). The record is from RNAcentral. Lineage: Eukaryota; Metazoa; Chordata; Mammalia; Rodentia; Muridae.
UAGAAGCGAUUCAUUCAAGCAGCCUUCCUUU